Molecule: ribosomal RNA, 264 nt
Filed under: uncultured bacterium
Lineage: Bacteria
Description: partial 16S ribosomal RNA
Rfam family: Bacterial small subunit ribosomal RNA
Source: RNAcentral
CCGGCGACCGGCGCACGGGUGAGUAACACGUAUGCAACCUGCCCUCUUCAGGGGGACAACUUCCGAAAGGGAGGCUAAUCCCGCGUAUAUCGGUUUCGGGCAUCCGAGAUCGAGGAAAGAUUCAUCGGAAGAGGAUGGGCAUGCGGCGCAUUAGCUAGACGGCGGGGUAACGGCCCACCGUGGCGACGAUGCGUAGGGGUUCUGAGAGGAAGGUCCCCCACACUGGUACUGAGACACGGACCAGACUCCUACGGGAGGCAGCAG